This 465-nucleotide ribosomal RNA is filed under the name uncultured bacterium. Its description in RNAcentral is "partial 16S ribosomal RNA". It matches the Rfam family "Bacterial small subunit ribosomal RNA", at positions 28 to 507 of the family's 1533-position model. The record is from RNAcentral.
GAUGAACGCUGGCGGCGUGCUUAACACAUGCAAGUCGAACGAUGAAGCCCAGCUUGCUGGGUGGAUUAGUGGCGAACGGGUGAGUAACACGUGAGUAACCUGCCCUUAACUCUGGGAUAAGCCUGGAAACUGGGUCUAAUACCGGAUAGGAGCGUCCACCGCAUGGUGGGUGUUGGAAAGAUUUAUCGGUUUUGGAUGGACUCGCGGCCUAUCAGCUUGUUGGUGAGGUAAUGGCUCACCAAGGCGACGACGGGUAGCCGGCCUGAGAGGGUGACCGGCCACACUGGGACUGAGACACGGCCCAGACUCCUACGGGAGGCAGCAGUGGGGAAUAUUGCACAAUGGGCGCAAGCCUGAUGCAGCGACGCCGCGUGAGGGAUGACGGCCUUCGGGUUGUAAACCUCUUUCAGUAGGGAAGAAGCGAAAGUGACGGUACCUGCAGAAGAAGCACCGGCUAACUACGUG